RNAcentral lists this transfer RNA (62 nucleotides) under Sinodasynus sp. RNAcentral describes it as "tRNA-Cys". It matches the Rfam family "tRNA". Rfam says of the family: Transfer RNA (tRNA) molecules are approximately 80 nucleotides in length. Their secondary structure includes four short double-helical elements and three loops (D, anti-codon, and T loops). Further hydrogen bonds mediate the characteristic L-shaped molecular structure. tRNAs have two regions of fundamental functional importance: the anti-codon, which is responsible for specific mRNA codon recognition, and the 3' end, to which the tRNAs corresponding amino acid is attached (by aminoacyl-tRNA synthetases). tRNAs cope with the degeneracy of the genetic code in two manners: having more than one tRNA (with a specific anti-codon) for a particular amino acid; and 'wobble' base-pairing, i.e. permitting non-standard base-pairing at the 3rd anti-codon position. The record is from RNAcentral. Lineage: Eukaryota; Metazoa; Arthropoda; Insecta; Hemiptera; Coreidae.
AGCUUUAUAGUCUAAUUAAGGAUAUUAGAUUGCAAAUCUGAAGGUAUAAAUUGUUAAAGCUU